AACCUGCAGAAGGAUCAUUGUCGAUGCCUCACAAUCAGACCGACCUGCAAAUUCGUUUUUCCAUCUACCAGCAGGCAGGUAGGGGACGGGCUUCUUCCGUCCUCCCCNUGCUUUGCCUGUUGUGUUGGGUCGGGGGGACACAAAGCAUUGUUUUUCCCGACCUCUCCUCCUCCUUCCCAACAAACACAAACCCCGGCGCUUCGUGCGCCAAGGAACUCCAAUCUGUCAAGUGCGAUUCCCAACGGCUCGGAGACGGUGCCCCGUGGGCAUUGUCAUGACACACAUUAUUUAUACAAAAUGACUCUCGGUAACAGAUAUCUCGGCUCUUGCAUCGAUGAAGAACGUAGAGAAAUACGAUUAGGAAGAGGGUACGCCUGCCUGGGUUUCACACAUCAUUACCCCAACGCAAACAAAUGUCCCACACAACGGCCGUUGCGUAGUAGGGUGCAUGCUGACCUCCCACGAGCAUCGUCUCGUGGUUGGUUGAAAAUCGAGUUCGUGGCCGAGCACGCCGUGAUAAAAUGGUGGAUGAGUAACUCUCGAGACCAAUCACGCGUUGCGACUCGUCCGCUUCGGACUCCUUCACGACCCUAUAGUGCCUCUUCUUCAGAGACGCGCUCAACGAGACCUUAGGUCAGGCGGGGCUACCCGCUCAGUUUAAGCAUAUCAAUAAGCGGAGGA
This 681-nucleotide ribosomal RNA is filed under the name Pueraria montana var. thomsonii. RNAcentral describes it as "eukaryotic LSU rRNA". The record is from RNAcentral. Lineage: Eukaryota; Viridiplantae; Streptophyta; Magnoliopsida; Fabales; Fabaceae.